CCUACGGGAGACAGCAGUGAGGAAUAUUGGUCAAUGGCCGAGAGGCUGAACCAGCCAAGUCGCGUGAGGGAAGACGGCCCUACGGGUUGUAAACCUCUUUUGUCGGGGAGCAAAGCGAGUCACGUGUGACUCAUUGAGAGUACCCGAAGAAAAAGCAUCGGCUAACUCCGUGCCAGCAGCCGCGGUAAUACGGAGGAUGCGAGCGUUAUCCGGAUUUAUUGGGUUUAAAGGGUGCGCAGGCGGAGGUGCAAGUCAGCGGUCAAAUUGCGGGGCUCAACCCCGUACUGCCGUUGAAACUGCAGCCCUUGAGUGCGCGAGAAGUAUGCGGAAUGCGUGGUGUAGCGGUGAAAUGCAUAGAUAUCACGCAGAACUCCGAUUGCGAAGGCAGCAUACCGGCGCGCAACUGACGCUCAUGCACGAAAGCGUGGGUAUCGAACAGGAUUAGAUACCCGAGUAGUC
Molecule: ribosomal RNA, 459 nt
Filed under: uncultured bacterium
Lineage: Bacteria
Description: partial 16S ribosomal RNA
Rfam family: Bacterial small subunit ribosomal RNA
Source: RNAcentral